UACAGAGGUCUCAAGCGUUGUACGGAUUCAUUGGGCGUAAAGGGUGCGUAGGCGGCGCGGUAAGUCGGGUGUGAAAUCUCGGAGCUUAACUCCGAAACUGCAUUCGAUACUGCCGUGCUUGAGGACUGGAGAGGAGACUGGAAUUUACGGUGUAGCGGUGAAAUGCGUAGAUAUCGUAAGGAGGACCAGUGGCGAAGGCGGGUCUCUGGACAGUUCCUGACGCUGAGGCACGAAGGCCAGGGGAGCAAACGGG
This 253-nucleotide ribosomal RNA is filed under the name uncultured bacterium. RNAcentral describes it as "partial 16S ribosomal RNA". It matches the Rfam family "Bacterial small subunit ribosomal RNA", at positions 524 to 776 of the family's 1533-position model. The record is from RNAcentral.